Molecule: ribosomal RNA, 497 nt
Filed under: uncultured bacterium
Lineage: Bacteria
Description: partial 16S ribosomal RNA
Rfam family: Bacterial small subunit ribosomal RNA
Source: RNAcentral
GAUGAACGCUGGCGGCGUGCCUAAUACAUGCAAGUCGAGCGAACAGACGAGGAGCUUGCUCCUCUGACGUUAGCGGCGGACGGGUGAGUAACACGUGGAUAACCUACCUAUAAGACUGGGAUAACUUCGGGAAACCGGAGCUAAUACCGGAUAAUAUAUUGAGCCGCAUGGUUCAAUAGUGAAAGACGGUUUUGCUGUCACUUAUAGAUGGAUCCGCGCCGCAUUAGCUAGUUGGUAAGGUAACGGCUUACCAAGGCAACGAUGCGUAGCCGACCUGAGAGGGUGAGCGGCCACACUGGAACUGAGACUCGGUCCAGACUCCUACGGGAGGCAGCAGUAGGGAAUCUUCCGCAAUGGGCGAAUGCCUGACGGAGCAACGCCGCGUGAGUGAUGAAGGUCUUCGGAUCGUAAAACUCUGUUAUUAGGGAAGAACAAAUGUGUAAGUAACUAUGCACGUCUUGACGGUACCUAAUCAGAAGGCCACGGCUAGCUACGUG